UUCAAACACAAGAACACGCCAUUCUAACAUCUAACCUGUUCGAGAGAAAGGUUAUUUGUCUAGAAAAGAAGACGCAUAGACCAACGCCAGUCUAACAUCUGACUUGUUCGAGAGAAAAGUUAUUUGUCUGGAAAAGAGAUAAUGUCAAGGUAGUAGGACACCCUUUCCUAUUAAAAAGCUAGUGCCGUACCUGGACUAACUUCUUGGAGAAUUCGUACCGUUAGUCACGCUUUAAGCUCAAGAGAGUUAAAGUGAAAUAGUCCUUGUUUAGGUCGAGAGACGCUUGGAUUUACCAUCGACUACAAUUCUCUAUAAGCAAUUACAUGUCAAGACUCUACACACUCAUAGCCAAUAGAGACGUAUACCUCAGAAGGUGGACAUAACCCCAACGCCUCAAUUCUCAUUGUUUACAACACACGUGACAAUCUCUCUUUAUUUUGCUAUUUUCAGUUCUUACAUUCUUGUUUUGGGUUACAUACUACAAUCCCCCCUUUCCUACGAGACUUGCACUAAAAGUCUAAGUAAUUUCUCUUGCUUGUUGGCCAAGCUAUUCUCUGUGGGAUCGAUACCCAACCCAGGUUGGGUUCUAUAUUUGCUAACGACCGCUUUACACUCCCACGAGAGCUGUAGAUUGAGCGUUAUCA
This 644-nucleotide long non-coding RNA is filed under the name Capsicum annuum. RNAcentral's name for it is "long non-coding RNA (CANN_LNC020392)". The record is from RNAcentral. Lineage: Eukaryota; Viridiplantae; Streptophyta; Magnoliopsida; Solanales; Solanaceae.